AAACGGCAAACAAAAGAACAGAACCAGGUUGUGGGUUCUAUUCCUGCAGAGGAGCCAGGCACCACCUUCGCUUCCCGGCGCCGGGCGCAGCGGGGCGGGGUUUCUGUCAAACCUGUUGUGGGUUGUCGGUGCGGAUCGUGGCGGUUCGCGUCUUGCUGGACCGUUCUGGUUUCUGGUGGCUCCUCCCGGCGGCCCGCGCAGCAUCUUACAGAGCUCAGUAAGAGGACGAUGAAGUGGAAAAAACAGGAUAGACGUUCUGACAGAAACAAGUCAGCAAGUUCAUUGCAGCACAACAUGGAAGAUCAAACAACACUCUGCAACAGCUCUGCAAUAAUGUAAAGAAACACAACUGCAAAUUACAUGAUGAAAGCAGAACUGUAUUGUAUUGUAUUGUAUUGUUACUGUACAAAGAGAAGGACAAGCAGUGAUGAGUGUGGACACUGCUGAAUGUAUGCCAACCAGUAGAUAUGAGAAGAACCUGGAUCUGGGGAAAUGAAGAAGAUGAAAUCACAGGGAAAGCAAACUAACAUGGAAGACGAACAGGAACUGUGUGUGAGCUAGAUUUUAAGAAAAGUCAAAACUCUGUUAAAGGAAAUCUUCAUCAAUUUUCAAUGGGGAUUAACCAAAACGAUGCCGGGUAAUAUUUAAGAAUGAAGGGACACUCAGAUUGCUCCAUAAUUUCCAUACAGAUAAAUUAUCAUUUAUUUCUCUGGUAAGACACCGUGGGCUCAAAAACUAAUAAUCCUCUGUACCUGCCCCAGCAAUGGCCAGGCUGAUAGGGGGCAGAGCCAUGAUGGGAGGGGGCGGAGCCAGUCUGCUGGAGUAAUACUGUUCUGUCCACCAUUGUUUUUCAUCGCAUACACGUACAGCACUAAUAUUCAACAGUCGGACAACCUGCUCCGGUUUAUUUAGAAGACAGCGAAUUUUAUAGUGUAACAGUCUGAUAUUCAGGGUUACUUGUAUGAUCUUGUAUGAUCCAGAGUACAGCCCAGAUGAGUUGCGCAGAGUGGGCAAAGCUGUCACAGCCGAAUAGCGCCUGCAAUGAGUUGACAGCAAGACAGCCGACAGCGGGGAGAUCCGACCAUGGGGCAGCUUACGGGAGCUGUGUUCAGUAGACAGCUGGUGGUCUGCACCGCACGCCGAUGUGAACAACUGAAUAUCCCUGUGCUGAAUUUCA
RNAcentral lists this long non-coding RNA (1177 nucleotides) under Betta splendens (Siamese fighting fish). Its description in RNAcentral is "lncRNA (ENSBSLG00000010503.1)". The record is from RNAcentral. Lineage: Eukaryota; Metazoa; Chordata; Actinopteri; Anabantiformes; Osphronemidae.